CCUACGGGCGACUGCAGUGAGGAAUAUUGGUCAAUGGGCGAGAGCCUGAACCAGCCAAGUCGCGUGAGGGAGUACUGCCCUAUGGGUUGUAAACCUCUUUUGUCGGGGAGCAAAAGCCGGACGUGUCCGGCUGUGAGAGUACCCGAAGAAAAAGCAUCGGCUAACUCCGUGCCAGCAGCCGCGGUAAUACGGAGGAUGCGAGCGUUAUCCGGAUUUAUUGGGUUUAAAGGGUGCGCAGGCGGAUUUUUAAGUCAGCGGUAAAAUCGUGGGGCUCAACCCCAUCCAGCCGUUGAAACUGGGGAUCUAGAGUGUGCGAGAGGUAUGCGGAAUGCGUGGUGUAGCGGUGAAAUGCAUAGAUAUCACGCAGAACCCCGAUUGCGAAGGCAGCAUACCGGUGCACAACUGACGCUCAGGCACGAAAGCGUGGGUAUCGAACAGGAUUAGAUACCCCUGUAGUC
Molecule: ribosomal RNA, 458 nt
Filed under: uncultured bacterium
Lineage: Bacteria
Description: partial 16S ribosomal RNA
Rfam family: Bacterial small subunit ribosomal RNA
Source: RNAcentral